Molecule: unclassified non-coding RNA, 210 nt
Filed under: soil metagenome
Description: partial contains 5.8S ribosomal RNA, internal transcribed spacer 2, and large subunit ribosomal RNA
Source: RNAcentral
AACCUUAUGGACCUGCGGGCGUAUACCUGCGGAGGGAUCAUUACCAGCAGCGGUCCGCGGCCUUCUGGGCCCGGUCCUCUCACCCUAUGCGUACCUUUUGGAGCGUUGCUUUGGCGGGCCUCCGCGCCCGCCAGAGGUCUCUGACUACUCUGCUAUUUUGGACUGUCUGAGUGUCUCACGAAUAACAUUAAAACUUUCAACAAUGGAUCU